UUCAUUUGAAAAGGCGGAAGAUAUGAAGGUUCCAACUCCCAACUAUUAAAGAUACUAUUGGGAUGCUUUAGUAAUCUAUUGAGCACCUCAACGACUUAAAAGGACGGCCUUUAGGUAUUGAAGAUAUCUUGCUGGAGAUAAUCAAACUGCUAACACCCCUACGAGGCGAGCUCAAGUGGUCAAGCCAACCACAGCGACAUCAUUAUGCGCCAAACACACACAAUUCCAUCUUGAUCCAUGUAGUGUGCUGCAUGCGUGCUGCUCUGCAUGCAUUCCCCUUUGUGAACCGAAGAACAUUCUUACCGCAAUCUCGAGGUUGAUUGAAGCUUGAGUCAAUAUGGGUUUUCUCGCUGAUUUAGAUCAACAAAACACCAUGAUCACAUUUGAAUUUUAAAAAUUCUAACACUAUUGGCCCCUCUUCUCCUAACAAGUUAAAAUUUGAAUUCCUAGCUCCACCAAUGAUGCCAUCACUAGUCACUCAUACCGGUGCAGUCAUUAUGGAACAAUUAACUACUCAUUAUGCUUAGGCUAGUCCCAGUGCAAGGUUUCAUUGCACUGUUUCCAAGGAUGCCACAUCAUCAUUUGAGAUGUAUUCUCAUGAAUGAAAUAGGGAGUCCCAGUGCAUAGUUUCAUUUCACGAUUUCAUAGGAUGUCCAUGACAUUUAAUUGUGAGGCAUGUGAUUGGAUAUGGUUAGAUGAGAUGAAACUCUAUAGCCCCCAAUGCAAGUUUCAAUAGGUUUCAUAGUCUUGGAAACAAUGUAUACACAGUUUCAUCCUGAUGAAACUCCUUCCCUCUCUCACUUCAUAACUACCAUGCCAUGUCAUCACAUAUGCUGAUGUGUCACCGUAUUUAAUGUGCAUGAAACCUCUAUAAAACUCCCACUGGGAUUAGCCUCAUAGCAGUUGAUCUCGCAUUACACGAGCCAAAUUAAAGAAUUCGUCUGAAAGCUCAAUCGAGGUGCUCUUCAACCGCAAGAUUAUUCAGCAUGUAGCAUGAUGCGACUCUGAAAGACGCCAGCUAAAAACAUACCAUGCCAGUUGACGUGUAAAAGCAGCGCUAGUAGUUACUUAAGUUUCAUGUUUUCUUUUCUCUGAACUGCAGAUCCGGCCUACUAAGUUGGCAUCUGCUGCUGCAGAGGUUGCUCAGACCGAAGUAGUUGUGGUAAAGCGCACUGAGAUCAGAGCAUAGAGCAACAAAUGCAGAUCCUUUGGAGAAAAGGGAGCAAGACGCUCAUAUAAUCCCAUUUGACACGAGGCUAACAUCCCAAGGUUAUUAAUAUUGGGGGCAUGUUCUGAUUAGUUUUAUCGUCGUUGC
RNAcentral lists this long non-coding RNA (1315 nucleotides) under Setaria viridis. RNAcentral's name for it is "long non-coding RNA (SVIR_LNC008486)". The record is from RNAcentral. Lineage: Eukaryota; Viridiplantae; Streptophyta; Magnoliopsida; Poales; Poaceae.